UCAAAGUUUGCUUAAGAAGACAAUUAGUCUUCUUUGACUAAUUCAAAGUAAAUUCAACAAAAAGAGAAGAAAAUUCUAGAAAAACAAAAAAAAAAGGGGGAAAUCUCUAGAAAAGUGAAGAGGGAGGCAUGUGCCUCUCACAUGCUUGAAGGAACUAAAUAUAUAUAUAUAUAUUAUGAGAGGUCAUCUUUAAUUGAAGAAAUUGAGGAGAAAGAAAGAAAAUAAGAAGAGAGGGAAUAUAGUAGGCUAUUCGGCCAUGGCUUCAAAAAUUAAGCCAUGGAAAAUUGAUGAAGAAAAAUUAUUCCCUUUUAAUAUUCUAGCUAAUUUGGAGGUCCUUGUUAACAUGGAGCAACUGUUGAAGUAAGAAAAACAUUGGUUAUGCAAGUAGUGGGCUUAGCCGAAUGGAGUUAAGUGAAGAAGACUAACAAGUUGGACGAAUAAGCGUAGCUAGUAAGGCGCGGCACAGGUACACCCAGAUGAGUUGAAGCUAAUAUAGAAGAUGUUCCAGCAGAGAUGGUAGACUCCACUUGUUCUGGAGUGCUGCCGAGUCAGAGUAUAUGUGCUAUGAUUUUUUGUUCGAAGUUAGAGACUUUGCAGACAGAGAUGUGGGUAUUGGUUGUUAGUUCAGUAAGCGGCUCCAUCAGCCGAUGUGUCAUUCGUGUUAUGAUAUAAGUUUCAUGUGAUUACAGAUUUUGUUUGAUUUGAAAGUAACGAAAACAAAAAUAUUUCUGAAAAUUCUACUAUGGAUUUCAUCUUUAUUUGAUUUAAAAAGUCCAAAGGAUUAUGUAUGUAUUAAAAGUCAGUGGGUUCGCUCGGCUCUAAGUAAGGGUCGGGUGCCCAUCACACCCUAGUAAGGUCGGGGUGUGACAUAUAUAUAUAUAUAUUAUAUGCAUAAAAAUAGUGCAAACUAGUAAUAUCCAAAAGGGUGGGCCCCAUACUAAACAACACCAAGUAAUAUAAAAAAAAAAAAAACUAUAUAAAGCAUGGGUUUAGACCCAUGCUUCGUCGUCCGUUGUCCCUUAAAAAAAAGGGUGGGCCUCAUACUAAAUAACACUGAGCAAUUAAAAAAAAGUGGAACUCACCAUCUCCAAACUCAUGCGGAAAAAAAAAAGUGGACCUCAUAUUAUCAAAAAAAAAAAAAAAAAAAGUGAACCAUAUAUUAAAAAAAAAGUUAAAAAAAAAGUGAUGACUUUGUAUUCAUAGCAAACACUAAUAUAAUAAAGUUUUAGAUACGGAGCACAAACUACAAUGUUCUAUUAAUCGUGUUUUGAACAUAGUAUAUAUAUAUAUAUUAUAUGCAUAAAAAUAGUACAAACUAAUAAUGUCCAAAAAAAAAAAGUGUACCCCAUAAAGGAUGGACCUCAUACUAAACAACAUCAAGCAAUAUAAAAAAAUAUUUAAAAAAAUUAAAAAAAAGUGGAACCCACCAUCUUCAAAUUCACGGUAAAAAAAAAUGGACCCCAUAUUAACAAAAUCAAGCAAUAUAAAAAAAAAUG
Long non-coding RNA from Lycium barbarum (goji berry), 1496 nucleotides. RefSeq lists it as uncharacterized. Lineage: Eukaryota; Viridiplantae; Streptophyta; Magnoliopsida; Solanales; Solanaceae. The record is from RefSeq and is a predicted model, not a curated record. The transcript has 3 exons.